Long non-coding RNA from Hyla sarda, 524 nucleotides. RefSeq lists it as uncharacterized. The record is from RefSeq and is a predicted model, not a curated record. The transcript is spliced from 3 exons. Lineage: Eukaryota; Metazoa; Chordata; Amphibia; Anura; Hylidae.
CUCCUACAAAAGACGGAGUGACACAUGUUGCUGCUAGUCCGGCUAGAGGAUGUGCGUCACACGCACGAAAUGGCCGGUUCCAGCUGCCCCCAUCCUCGUUCAUGCUCCUGUACCUGCCUGUACUUGAGAUGCCAACUAACCGAGAAUAAAGCAUCUUACUGCAUGGGUUAUGAAAGCAGUGCUAUCGGAGGCACAUGAAGACUUUACAAUGUUCCAUUCUGGACCACACAGGUAUAAAUGGAUUUCAAUAUUUCACCAGUGCCUCUAGAUGUGCAGUGCUGUCAGCAAGGAACAGCCAAAUGAGCAGAACCAUGCCUCAACGUCCGCAACCUGCUGGAGUAGACCUCAUUCUUUCAUGGGCAGUGCAUGCAAUAUGGGAGAGGACAAAUGCAUCGGGGCUCCUGGGACUAAAUGCUAAAUCUGUUGCAGGGUCCACAACUACCAUGUGCCAUUUAUAUUGCUGGUGUCAUCCUAGGAGAUAGAAGGGCCAUUGAGAGACCCUAGCCUGGUGCAAUUGCCAUCUC